UAGAGUGUAACUCAGUGGCAGAGUACUUGUCUAGCAUGCAUAAGGCUCUGAGUUCAAUUCCUAGUACUUAAA
RNAcentral lists this transfer RNA (72 nucleotides) under Neotoma lepida (desert woodrat). It matches the Rfam family "tRNA". Rfam says of the family: Transfer RNA (tRNA) molecules are approximately 80 nucleotides in length. Their secondary structure includes four short double-helical elements and three loops (D, anti-codon, and T loops). Further hydrogen bonds mediate the characteristic L-shaped molecular structure. tRNAs have two regions of fundamental functional importance: the anti-codon, which is responsible for specific mRNA codon recognition, and the 3' end, to which the tRNAs corresponding amino acid is attached (by aminoacyl-tRNA synthetases). tRNAs cope with the degeneracy of the genetic code in two manners: having more than one tRNA (with a specific anti-codon) for a particular amino acid; and 'wobble' base-pairing, i.e. permitting non-standard base-pairing at the 3rd anti-codon position. Lineage: Eukaryota; Metazoa; Chordata; Mammalia; Rodentia; Cricetidae. The record is from Rfam by way of RNAcentral.